AAGUAAUAGUUUUUUGUAUCUGUUGUGUGGUAUUGUAAAUAAACUCUUCUCUGAUUUCUUUGUCAUUUUGACAUUGGAUAAGUAUGUUUAGGGCUCAAAAUUAUAAGAUGUUUCUCUAUAGUCCCUACAAGCAAUAUGUUGUGUUAUAUUUCCAGUUUGAAGCUACUCUAGUCACUCCAAGAGACUGUGAAGAACUCGAGCGACGGAAUGUGCUUAGGGACUUUUAUUUUGGCGUGUUGGUGUGACGUCAUAAAGCAGCGCCGCGCUUCUGCGUCUGUGAUUCGGCUGAAGAACGGUUUGAAUCUUAAUUCAUUUAAACUGUUUAAAUCGAUGUAAAUGGUUUAGUGACUUGUAUAGUUUAACAAGCAAACUAUAGUUAAUUAAUCAUUAUUGGAAGUAGCAUUGAAAUGCUUUAUCUAACGUUAAAACGUGCUGUUUUGUGAAAGUAGGGCGCAGGUGAGUAAGUGAACAGAGAAGCUGCGUCUUAUUUCUCUCUUUAUAUUGUGAAUCAGUUCAUAAUAAACACGAAUUCAGUCGCUGAGUGAAGCUCCGAGUCAACUGAAUCAAAUGACUCUCUGUUCUGAAUCACUUCACGCUGAACUGACUCUCGACAGAUCACUGAAGCAGGGAGCCGAUUCUGACUCAUCCAGAGAUUCAGUUCAGAUUCAUUCAUCUUUCUGUUAAUUAAUCUCCUCUUAAUCAUGUGUGAACAGAGGAGAGACUCCUGCUGAGAUCCUGUUACAGAGAUGGCAGUUAUUAAAGAGGAGAGUGAAGACGUGAAGAUUGUAGACACUUUCAGAGUCAAACAAGAAGAUACUGAGGAACACACAGACCCGAUGCCACUGAAAGAGGAGAGUCGAGAACAUGAUGAAAUGGAAAAGAAAUGUCAGUAUGAGAAACAUAACGGGUUCAUAACUGAAGAAAACUCUUAUUAGCUGCUCGCAGACCUAAAAGACCACGGCUCAGAUCACCGAGACUGGAAGUGAAUUCACCUGCCAACAGUGUGGAAGGAGUUUCGCUAGAAAAGGAAACCUUAAAGUCCACACGGGAGUUCACACCGGAGAGAGACCGUACUCGUGUGUGCUGUGCAGAGCGAGUUUCACACGCAGAGGAAGCCUUAAAGUGCACAUGAGAACUCCCCGGGGAAAGCCCUUACAUCUGCAAACCAUGUGAGAAGAGCUUCUCAAGCA
This is a long non-coding RNA of Cyprinus carpio (common carp), 1190 nucleotides long. The record is from Ensembl. NCBI's taxonomy places the organism in Eukaryota, Metazoa, Chordata, Actinopteri, Cypriniformes, Cyprinidae.